GUCCGGGAUGGUGGACACGGGGUUGUGGUAAAGUGGAGUCGGUCUCUACUUUGGGUUUCGGCUCCACUGUGGGAAUCGGCCUCUCCUCUUCCCGCCCUCGGAACAGUGAGUGUCUGUCAGCGCCUCACCGCACCGGCUCUCUGCCUCAGGAGUCAAACUGGACACACUGGAGGCCGUGGUUGAACAAAGGACCCUACGGAAAAUCCUGACAAUUCUGGACAAUGUUUCUCAUCCUCUGCAUGCCUCCUUGGCUGAACAGAGGAGCAUCUUCAGUAACACACUGAGACAACUGUGCUGCUCGGAGGAGGGCUGUAUGAAGUCAUCCUUACACUGGGCCAUUAGGCUCUGUAAUGAGUCAACCUGUAGCCGGGGAAGUGAUGACACCCCCCAUGUUAGACUGUUGGAGAUUAUAGACUCCAGUAGCUGAAGUGAAGUUAACUGGACUACAGUCACCUGCUUUUUAUCUUCCACCCUUCUUCAUCAAUGGUUUUCAACUCCACUGGGACCUUUCUGAAACCUGCAGGCUGGCAAUCCUGUGACACCGCUGAUGCCUGACUCCUUCGGUCUCUGCCGUUGCUCUGGGUUCAUCAGCUCCUGCAUGGGCAACAGCUUGCUUUACGUAUCGUACUACCCUGGUCUGCAUAUGGACUUCGACAGCCAGGGCGCAAUAUCCAUGAUCGUCCCUGACCAGCAGAGGGCCAUCACCAACAUGUCUGUCCACGGCCUCCUCUCCUGCUACGAUGAGGCCAAAUACAUGUUGGAUGAGCAGCACCUCGUGUUUUCACUGUGUAGCCUCCAAUCUUGAUGGCAUGAACAUUGAUGUCUCCAAAUUCCAGAUAUCACUACACACUGUUUCCUUCAUGCCCACUUCUUUCCCCCAUUCUGAUGGAAUUUAAUCCCUUCACCUCUCCUGAUGCACACUCCUGACCUGCCCAUCAUCUCUCUCUGAUUCUUUACCUCCUUCGUGUCAUCCCACGGUCCAACACUCUCUCCUAUUAGAUUCCUUUCUCUUCAUCUCUUUGCCUUUUCUGCCUGUCACGCAGCUCCUCAAAUCAUCAUCCCUUCACAAACCACACACCCCACUCACUUGUCCUCCCCCUUCCUCCACCACCUUUCUUUCUCAUCCCAAUGAGGUUCUCAGCCUGAAAUAUCGAUGUUUGCUGAGUUCCUGCAGUAUUUUGUGUGUGUUUGCUUCAGUCUGUGUGUUGAUUAAGCUGAUCAAACUGGUACAGUGGAAGAGGAAUUUGUGGAGUGGUCAGAGACAGUUUCUUACAGCAGGAUCUUACCCAGGAACAGGACAUUUCAGGUGUAAUCUGUGUAAUGAGGUGGGAUUACAGAGAGAUCUUGUGGUGAAGGAUCCCUGAAGAAGUGAUCACAAUGAGGGAGAACUCCAGACCACAGAUUGAGGGUGAAUUCAGGGUCCAGGUUUCAGGUCAGGGUUUUCCUUCCACUAGAUGAGCUGCCAAGCAUGGUUGACGAGCCCAUCUGCCCAAAGCAGUCGGCUGUAUGACAUUAGUAAACCGAUUUGCACCUUCCCCCGACACUAGAAACAGUUCCAUUGGGCUUAGUAGCUAAGCCAUAUGUUAAAGUCAGGAGCUGGAUUUGGCUGACAGAGGCAAUUUGAUGUGCACACCAUUGGCAGCUUUUAAUGGGAAUUGGGAUCUUGUCCCAUUAUCACUCCACCACUGGUUAAGACAGCUGUAAGGCACCAAUAUGUCAGUAUGUGAAUGGGAAAUGGAACUAGAAUGCAUUGCCAAUGGCAGAUUGUGGUUGUUUCAGCUCACAGAACAAAGGUACUCGAUGUAGUUUUACCACAAUCUGCUUCUGCUUAUAUCUCUCAUGACAAUCAGUGCUCCACUCUCAUCUCUCUUUGAUAUUUCCUCUUUUGUGCUUUAUCCCAUCGGGAGGAACACCUGAGGAUCUUGAGACCACUCCUCCCCGUGUCUUCUUUCCCUCCCCUUUCACCAUCGCUGUUCCUACAUGUAAAGUAAAGUAUUCAUGCCCCUUGGAAGUUUUCAUGUUUUAUUGUUUUAUGAUUUUGAAUCACAGUGGAUUAAAUUUGGCUUUUUUUACCUGA
This is a long non-coding RNA of Hypanus sabinus (Atlantic stingray), 2077 nucleotides long. RefSeq lists it as uncharacterized. The transcript is spliced from 4 exons. The record is from RefSeq and is a predicted model, not a curated record. NCBI's taxonomy places the organism in Eukaryota, Metazoa, Chordata, Chondrichthyes, Myliobatiformes, Dasyatidae.